CUCAGGGCUGAUUUCCUUCAGAAUGGAUAGGUUUGAUCUUCUUGCAGUCCAUGGGACUCUCAAGAGUCUCCUCCAGCACCAUAAUUCAAAAGCAUCAAUUCUUCAGCAAUCAGCCUUCUUUAUGGUCCAGCUCUCACUUCCAUACAUCACUACUGGGAAAACCAUAGCUUUAACUAUACGGACCUUUGUUGGCAAGGUGAUGUCUCUGCUUUUUAAGAUCCUGUCUAGGUUUGUCAUUGCUUUUCUUCCAAGAAGCAGGUGUCUUUUAAUUUCGUGACUGCUGUCACCAUCUGCAGUGACCAUGGAGCCCAAGAAAGUAAAAUCUCUCACUAUAUUUUGCACUCUCCUCUUUCACCCUCAUUAAAAGGUUCUUUAAUUCCUCCUCACUUUCUGCCAUCAAGGUUGUGUCAUCUGCAUAUCUGAGGUUAUUGAUAUUUCUUCCAGCAAUCUUAAUUCCGGUUUGGGAUUCAUCCAGCCCAGCCUUUCACAUGAUGAAUUCUGCAUAUAAGUUAAAUAAGCAGGGAGACAAUAUACAGCCUUGCUGUACUCCUUUCCCAAUUUUGAACCAUUCAGUUGUUCCAUAUCCAGUUCUAACUGUAGCUUCUUGUCCCACAUAGAGAUUUCUCAGGAGACAGAUGAGGUGAUCAGGCACUCCCAUUUCUUUAAGAACUUGCCAUAGUUUGCCGUGGUCGACACAGUCAAAGGCUUUUGCAUAGUCAAUGAAGCAGAAGUAGAUGUCUUUCUGGAACUCUCUAGCUUUCUCCAUAAUCCAGCGCAUGUUUGCAAUUUGGUCUCUGGUUCCUCUGCUUCUUCAAAAUCCAGCUUGCACUUCUGGGAGUUCUCGGUCCACAUACUGCUUAAGCCUGCCUUGUAGAAUUUAUAAAACUUCAUAGAAUCCUAGAAUUGUAGAGUUGGAAGGGACCCCAAGGGUCUUCUAGUCCACCCCCUGCAAUGCAGGAAUCCCAGCUAAAGCAUCCAUGGCAGAUGGACAUCCAACCCCUCCUUAAAAACCUCCAAGGAAGAAGAGUAUGUAACCGCAUGUCACCUCUUACUUGCCUUUUCUCUAAACUAAAUAGACCCAAACACUGCCAUCUUUCUUCCUAGGGGGACCUCUCCAUCUCCUUGGUCAUUUGAAUUGCUCUUUUCUGAACUUUUCACAUCUGCUACACACCUAAGCUUUGUCUCAUCCUGAAAUGUCAUGUUGUUGUUGUGGUAUGAAUUUAAAUACUGCCCUAUACCGGUGGCAGCUCAAGGGUGAUUCACAAGAUAAAAUUGGACUAUAAAACCACAAAAUGCAUAAUCAAAUAAAAACAACAACAGUCCAAUAACACACACACACACACACACACACACACACACACACAUUUUUGAAGGCCAUAGGAUGUCAAUCAAAUCCACCAAAGGCCUGAUUAAAAAGGAACAUUUUUGCCUGGAGACUAAAGAUGUAUAAUGAAGGCGCCAGGCGAACAUCCCUGGGGAGAGCAUUCCACAAACAGGGAGCCACUGCAAGGAAGGCCCUGCUCUCAUGUUGCCACCGUCUGGACCUCUCAAGCAGGCACACAUUACCUACCUGACAUAUGCAAUACAUCCUAGAAGCCUGGGAUAGCAAAUGGCCACCUUGGUGUGGCACUUUAGCAUAACAGAAUAACAGAAUCAUAGAGCUGGAUGGCACCCCCAAGGGUCAUUCAAGUUGGGAAUGCCAUUCCACCUUUUGCUGCAGAUAUGUGGAUUGUUGCAUGUCACAUGUCUGUUUACAUUCCAGCACAGAUUGCUGGCAUGAACAGAACAUCCGCUCUGUAUUGCUUUUGUUUUUCAGUCUCCGAGAAGACAGCAAGGAGAGACGCCAUCUUUUCUUUGUCCUGAUUUAUGUAUAAUAAACACGUAGCCUUAGUAUUGCAUCUACGCCUCAAGCCUCAUCUGUUGCAGCUUGAGUCAAUGAUGAAUGUUGGAGGAGCAGAGGUCGAUGGAUCUCCGCAGCAGCAAAGCUGGGGGGGGGGGAGACACUACAGCGGGGGCAGAGCCAGCUGGCUUUUCGUCCCCCGAUUCCGACAAUUCAGUCCAACCCUGCAUUGCAGGGGGUUGGACUAGAUGACCCUUGGUGGUCCCAUCCAACUCUAAAUAAUAAUAAUAAUAAUAAUAAUAAUAAUAAUAAUCUAUUUAUACCCUGCCCAUCUGGUGGGGUUUUCCCAGCCACUCUGGGCAGCUUCCAACCGAAUAUUAAAAACAAUACAGCAUCAAACAUUAAAAACUUCCCUAAACAGGGCCGCCUUCAGUUGUCUUUAAAAAGUAAAAUAGUUGUUUAUUGCCUUGACAUCUGCUGGGAGGACAUUCCACAGGGCGGGUGCCACUACCGAGAAGGCCCUCUGCCUGGUUCCCUGUAACCUCACUUCUCGCAGCAAUGGAAUCAACAGAAGGCCCUCAGAGCUGGACCUCAGUGUCCGGGCUGGAUGAUGGGGGUGGAGACGCUCCUUCAGGUAUACAGGACUGAGGCCUGUAAUGCAGGAAUCACAGAUAACAUGAAUGGCCAAACUACGAAAUAAAGAGAGCUGCUUGCCCAAGAGAGCACAUCUGUAAAACACACACACAACAACAACAACCAAAAAAUCCCAAAGCACCAUUGAUUCCAUCUCCUAUGCUUACUGGCUCUUCUUGCUUUGGCAUAGCAGUAUAGAAGAUGCAGUUCAUAACUCCUAGUGACAGGCGCGAUAUUGAUAUCCACCAAAGUGCCUGAGGGGAGAGAGAAAAUAAACACUUGAUAAAAGUAUGAUUUAAGAUUAAUAGUUGUCUUGUGAAGAUCCAUGAUAAAACAUCCCAUAAAGAGAUUACUUGCCUGCAGUACCAAAAAAACUCCUGCAGUCACGGCUGAGCGAAGCCAGAGAAGAAAGUCUAAUUUCAGAGCAGGUUUUAUCUCAGUCGGGGAACCGAUUCUGCCUUGGGAAUACUGUAAAAGUGGGGCAUCACUUCAUGUGAAAACACUGUAAUUAAACAGAGGGCUCGGUCAAAAACGGCAAAAAGGCUCAGAUUUUUGGAUCCAAACCUAGAUUUUUGGAGGGGAGAGCUUUCCUUGACUUGGUGCCUUCCAGAUUUACUGAAGCUUUUUAUAUACAGUGGUACCUUGGGUUAAGAACUUAAUUCGUUCUGGAGGUCCGUUCUUAACCUGAAACUGUUCUUAACCUGAAGCACCACUUUAGCUAAUGGGGCCUCCCGCUGCCGCCGCGCCGCCAGAGCACAAUUUCUGUUCUCAUCCUGAAGCAAAGUUCUUAACCCGAGGUACUAUUUCUGGGUUAGUGGAGUCUGUAACCUGAAGCAUCUGUAACCUGAAGCAUCUGUAACCCGAGGUACUACUGUAUUGCUUAAAGGCCGUAGUUUGGGCUCCAACUCCCAUCAGCCCCAGCCAGGAUGACCAAUUGUUGGGGAUGAUGGGAGCUUAGUCCAAACAAAACUCAUUCUGACAGGAGGUAAUGGUCACCAGCCUAGAGGGCUUUAAAAGAGGAUGAGACAAAUUCAUGAAGGCUAUUGAUGGCUGCAAGAAGAUCAAACGUAUCCAUUGCAAGAAGAUCAAACGUAUCCAUUCUUAAGGAAAUCAGCCCUGAGUGCUCACUGGAAGGACAGGUCGUGAAACUGAGGCUCCAGUACUUUGGCCACCUCAUGAGAAGAGAAGACUCCCUGGAAACACCCUGAUGUUGGGAAAGAUGGAAGGCACAAGGAGAAGGGGACGACAGAGGGCGAGAUGGUUGGACAGUGUUCUCGAAGCUACCAGCAUGAGUUUGACCAAACUGCAGGAGGCAGUGGAAGACAGGAGUGCCUGGCGUGCUCUGGUCCAUGGGGUCACGAAGAGUCGGACACGACUAAACAACAACAACAAUUGAUGGCUACUAGCCAUAAUGGCUAGGCUCUGCCUCCACAGCUGGAGGAGAAACUGCUUCUGAAAACCAGCUGAUGGAAACCACAGGAGGGGAGAGGGCUCUUCUGCUUGAGUCCUAGGCCUAAGACCCUCGUACCUACGGGACCACCUUUCCUGAUAUGCCCCACGGAGGACCUUAAGGUCCAUAAAUAGCAAGUCAGUAAGGAAGUCAGAUUAGCCUCAACCAGAGCCAGGGCCUUUUCAACAUUGGCUCUGGCCUGGUGGAACACUCUGUCUCAUGAGACCAGGGCCCUGCAGGGUCUGCUUUCUUUCCGCAGGGUCUGUAAGACAGAAUUGUUCCGCCUGGCCUUUGGCUUGGAAUCAGCCUGAUCCCCUCCCCCUCUUUCCUUUUCCUUCUGUAAUGGAACUCCUAUUUGGGGACUUCCCUGGCUUUUUUUCUGGCCCAUGUAGGACCAGUCUGGAAAGUUAGCCUUGGUGAAGACUUGACGUUUUCAUCCCCAAAAACGUUUUUGAUUUGAGUUUCCAUUGAAAUGAGGCUGUAUUUUAAUGUUUUAAAGUUGUAUUUCAAUCAAUUUGUUUUUAUGUUGGGUGUUAGCCGCCCUGAGCCCAGUCUUGGCUGGGGAGGGCGGGGUAUAAAUAAAUUAUUAUUAUUAUUAUUAUUAUUAUUAUUAUUAUUAUUAUUGAGUCCUGCCUAUGGACUUCCCAUAGGGGCAUCUACCUGGCCACUGUGAGAACUGCACCGUUCACCUGCUUUCUUCCCCAUACUGAACUGUACACAGUUCCCAUCUCGUCGGCAGGUUUAUUGCAUGCGUAGAGAGGCAUUUGUGUGCGAAGGUGGCGAAAACAACAGUACGAUGGCAUAUGUAGAGGAGAGGUUAAAUCAAACCUUAUCUUUUAGAAAAUAGCCAUGCUGUUUUCAACUCAUUAAUCACCCAUUAUCUUCAAGGAUUGGAUGUGUGCUUAUGUGCAGUUCAUAAAAGGCCCAAUUUAUCAGGAAGCUGCUCUCCACAAACGCUAUGGCUUCAGCUGCCAUUCAAUUCAACUGGGUUUGUGCGAUAGAUUUUCUCAAUGAAAUGAGCCCAAAGAGUCCCAACCAGUCCUUGAAUUCUAUAUCAUUAUACCUCUUAGGGUGGGGGUAGGCAAUUGUUGCUGUUGUUGAGCACUAGAUUCCCACAAGGAGGCUGAAGGUGUCAGGAGUUCAGCCUACACUUGAGUAGGACGCUGGCAGAGACACAUGCCCAACUGGCAUGUUCCCUCCCUCCUGGUCAAUCAUUCAGGAGCUUCCAAAGCUUUCUUCAGCCUGAACAUCACAGUGACCAAUGCCAACCGACACCAGCACACUUAGGGAUCCACAGAGUUUGCGCCGUUCACAUAACAGACCUUAGCAACUCUGCAUUUUGGCUAAUCUACUUUAUUUACAUAUAAACACACAUGGAGCACUGCAACAUGGCUCCCUCUCUCUCUAGCAUCAGACAGCAAAGAGAAAAAGAACACAGGACAACAGUCCCACUUCACGGAACACAAACAUCCUGUCUUCUUCACUUCCCACUCUGUGGAGUCAAAACAUAUACCGUCAUGUGAAAGUCCCAUGACUGCAAUCAUAGAUCAGUAAUUCUAACUAGAGGUGCAUGGGGCUGGAGUCAAAAGUGGAGGUUGCUCCAUUAGUAUGAAUGGGUCACUGCUCCAGCAGCUUCAGUCUGCCUUCAGCCAGCCCCCACCUGCAUGCCUACUUAACAGUCUGUCCAGAGUAACCAGCUGUUACCAAUCUUCUCCCUUGUCUCAGUAUUGCCUGAGUAGAACUCAAUAGGAAGGAGGAUGGGGAUACAACUAGAAUUUAGUGGGUCUGCCUGUCAUUGGCUCUCCCUGCCUUCCACUUUGCCAGUCUCUACAGACACCAAGCACUUUUGAGCAGGUCAUACUCUCUCCCCCUUCAUUCUCUCUCUCUCUCCCAACCCUUUCUGCCCAUGUUUCCUCCUUCCAACCCCAAAUUAGGCUGGGGGAUUCACUCAUCUCUAUGACCACAGGUUGGUUGUUGUGGUUGUUGUGGUUGCAGUUGUGGUGAUUGUGGUUGUUGUUGUGGUUAUUGUUGUGGUUGUUGUUGUUUCUUCUUCUUCUUCUUCUUCUUCUUCUUCUUCUUCUUCUUCUACUUCUUCUUCUUCACCUGCCCUUCACCCUAAGGUCUCAGGACUGGUUACAAAAUUAACACGCAACAUUAAAAGCAGUUUAAAACAACUUACAGUAAAAACAAAAUUAAUAAGAUGUGUCUCCCUCUCUCUCCUUCUCUAGAAUCAGAAACCAGAGUUGCAUCUUCAGUUGUAUAAUGUAGGUUCCAGAUGUGAGGAGGAGGUUCUACAGUUCAGGGGCCACCACAGAGAAGGUCCUCUUCCAGGCUGCCACCUGCUGAGGCUCUGAGGGUGGAGGAACUCCCAAGAGGGCUUCCUCUGCUGAUCUCAGUACCCAAGAGUGUCUGUAGGGAAGGAGGAAGCCUUUUAGGUAUUUGUGGCUUGAGCAUCUUGAACUGGGGCCGGAAACAAACUGGCAACCAGUGCUGCUGUUUUAGAACAGGGGUUAGAUGAGAUCUAAUUGCAAGCAGUAAUUCUAGCUGCUGCAUUUUGGACCAAGUGAAGUUUCUGAAUCAUCUUCAAGGACAGCCCCACACACAGCAUGCUGUAGAAAUCCAAUAUCCAUUCAAACUCCUGUGGAUACAGUGCAAGGGCCAUUAUUACUGCGCUAAAAUGUGGUCUUCAAGAGGUGCUAGUUAUUUCCUCUUUCUCACAAUAGCAUAGUGAAGGAAAGGACCAAAAUCUUCACUUUAUUCAAUAAAUCGCAUCAAAACAGUCUCUCAUCCCAUUGAAAUGAGACAAUAUGUGUGCUUGUGCAUGUGUGUGUGUGUGUGAAAUUAUUAUCUUUAUGAGCAAUGGAAAUGCUGCAGUUAAAGUUUCAUCUGGGAAAUGGCAUCUUGUUGGGAAAUACUCCCUGAAAACAUCUUUCUAACUGACACAAAGGAUAUUGGCAAGCUUUGACAAAUAGUUUUCACCAACUUUCCCUUUCCAAACUGCACGAGGAAUAUUACAUCAAAUGUUUUCGGCUGUUAUCCAAGAACCACAAGCAAAGAAAAAUGAUUGCUUACAUAUUUCUUCCCGUGCUGAUGAAAACUCCUGCCCAAAAACAUGUGCUGUAUGAAACAAACCUAUGUGCCGAGGACAGCUUCAUUUUCCUUGUGAAAGGUUCUUACAUGAAGCAUUUGUACAAAAGUAAUAAGCUAUCUGCAUUGGGUUUUUCUGUUUUCGGAAAGCAGCAGUCUCCGUCAGAGGAUGUUCCAGCCUAAGGGGUGUGCUUUGGGUAAGGGGAUAGGUUCCAUCAAGAGAAGCCAAGCAUGGAAACCAAGACAGUGUUCGAUCUUGAUAGAGAUGCAUGUUGUGCUGGGCCCGGGAGUAACCCGCGAAACGCGGUCCAGGACCGGACCCAAAUCCGAAGGUUCCGCUAGGAGUCAGUCCAACAGGGCCAAAGCAGGACAUGAGGCAGGAAACCAGGCAAGGACAGGUACAGGAUCUCAGGCAGGAUCUAGCAUACAGCAAUGUUGCUCCCACAACCUGGGGCGGGGUCCGACAGCCUUUUAUCUUUGUUGGGGUAGCGGCCGGUCCUGAUCCCCCAGCAAUUCACCUCCCUGUUUCGCCUGAAGGCGAGCACUCCUCCUGCGAGUACUCAGGUAUCUCCUUCUCUCAGACCUUAGUCUCUGCAACUCGGGAGAUGUCUGUGGGUUCCUAGACCCAGGGGCCGCCUCAGCCUCCCCUGACCCAACAGGUAGUGGAGCAGCUGUGAGUGAUGACCCAGCUGGAGGCAACAAGAUAAUCCCCGCAUAUGGAGCCAGGGCAGGCUCAGGUCCCUGACUCUCCCCCGGCUGGUGUUUGUUGCAGGGGAACCUGUGCAGACUGGGACUCUUCAGGAUCAGGCCCCAGACUUGGUUCAGAUGGUGCCUGAGGCGAGUCUCCUCUGGUUCCGAGUCUGAGCCCAAGUCCCAGGCCAUCACACUUAUGAACAGGCACAAAUGUUGUAUCAGCGACAGAUGAUCCCAUACUGAAUUCUAGAUAGGGCUUCAGACCAAUCUUCUGACCAGUCCAAAAAGCCCUCCAAAAGUAGAUAAUGGAGGAAGGUAAGCCCACUGAUUGUCUCCUGUAUUCUGUAGCACACACUCUCCAACUCUAGGGUUCCAUUCAGUUAUAAUUGUCAGCCUGGAUAGCUCAGUUGGUUAGAACAUGGUGCCGAUAAUGCCAAGGUUAAAAGUUUGAUCCCUGUUUGGGACAGCUGCAUAUUCCUGCAUUGCAGGGGGGGUGGCCUAGACUCUGUUGGAAGAGAUCCAGUGUGGUGUAGUGGUUAAGAGUGGUGGACUCGUAAUCUGUUGAACUGGGUUCGAUUCCCCACUCCUCCACAUGCAGCUGCUGGGUGACCUUGGGCUAGUCACACUUCUCUGAAAUCUCUCAGCCUCGCUCACCUCACAGAGUGUUUGUUGUGGGGAAGGAAGGGAAAGGAGAAUGUUAGCUGCUUUGAAACUCCUUAGGGUAGUGAUAAAGCGGGAUAUCAAAUCCAAACUACUCUUCUUCUUCUUUCUAUGAUAACUAACGGUCAUUGACUCAGUGUGAGGCAGCUUCCGAUGUUCCAGAUAUGAAACCUAACAUCUUCCCUCUCAAAGACAUGCACUUUUUAAAUCAAACAACUAAUUAGAUUAUUAUUAUUAUUCCUGUUCUAUUGAGAUCUGUCCUGGUGCACAUAUCCUACCCGGCAAAGCAUUCAUCAGGCUGUUAGUCCACAAUGCAAAGCACUUAAUAUCUAGAGCAGUCUUGAAUAAUUCAUUAGUGCUCAAUGCGCCUAAUACCGAUAAAUGGAAGCCCUGCUGGUUUCUCACACACUUCUUGGUUUAAGCGAUGAUAAAUAUACACUUUGCCAGACAGCCAUAUGAGCUGUAGGGAAGGAAUUCAUUCUCAUCAAAGAAAUAGUAAGUAGGGAGCAUUCCCACCUCUUGGAAGGGCGAGUGAGGAGAACCUUAGAUUCCUGACUGCUCCGAGAAUGAUGUGAGUUAGCGUUGGGGCCCCAAACAUCAAUGGGGCCCCAAACAUCAAUAACCCUAACCCACAUGGAAAAUGAAGAGUUGUUGCUAAAUAUUUAUUCAUGUAUUUCCACUUACAAAUUGCUUCUGAGGUGGACUUACUCAUAACCCCAUUAUUAGUGAGGCCACAGCAACAUAUGCAAGAAUGUGACCUGACCACAAGAUUGGCUGUCUGUUAAAGUGAAAAAAAGAACACCCUAUAAGGUAUAAGAAGGGUUCUGACAUGAGCAGUCAACAAUGGGUUGAGCAAGUUUAAUUAUUAUUAUUUAUUUAUUUAUUUAUUUAUUUAUUUAUUUAUUUAUACCCUGCCCAUCUGGCUGGGUUUUCCCAGCCACUCUGGGCAGCUUCCAACCGAAUAUUAAAAACACAAUACAUCUUGAAACAUUAAAAACUUCCCUAAACAGGACUGCCUUCAGAUGUCUUCUAAAAGUCUGGUAGUUGUUUUUCUCUUUGACAUCUGGUGGGAGGGUGUUCCACAGGGCGGGUGCCACUACCGAGAAGGCCCUCUGCCUGGUUCCCUGUAACUUGGCUUCUCACAGCGAAGGAACCGCCAGAAGGCCCUUGGCACUAGACCUCAAGCCAUCCAAGCUGGUGCGCAUCCUAGGAACGUGAGACUGUCAUCAAAAGCAUGGGAUGAUCCUCCUUAGUCUAUUAACUGCCUUCAACAUUUGCACAGACGAAGCAUGCUAGGCAAACAGUGACCAGAAAUUCACAAGAGGUGAGUACAAAACACGGGGUUUUGCCAUUUGUUUAGAGCAUGGGUAGGCAAACUAAGGCCUGGGGACCCGAUUCGGCCCAAUCACCUAAAUCCAGCCUGCAAAACGGUCCAGGAAUCAGCAUGUUUCUACAUGAGUAGAAUGUGUGCUUUUAUUUAAAAUGCAUCUCUAGAUUAUUUGUGGGGCAUAGGAAUUUGUUCAUAUAUAUUUUUUCAAAAUAUGGUCCGGCCCCCCAAAAGGUUUGAGGGACAGUGGACCGGCCCCCUGCUGAAAAGGUUUGCUGACCCCUGGUUUAGAGCUUCUCAGUUGUCAAUGUAAGAGGUAACGCAGAGUUAAAACCCUCGAGGUGAAGCCUUCUUGUAGAAAGAGCUGUGAAGUGAAUUGUAGCGGGUUGGGUUCUACAGUUCUAUGACUCCAUGAUAUCUUUUGGUGAUUUGUGCAGGCCAUCUCCCUUGCUGCAAAUAUGUUUCUUUGUGAAGGGAAGUCCUUCCACUUCUAUUACAUAACUUGUCAUUAUUAUCAAAGUACGGUAGUUUAGAGGAAAUCUCUUCAAGGGUAAACUUCUUAAUGCAGGUAUUUCCUGCUGUAACUCCUUGCAAACUCAGAGGCAUGCUCAAAGCACAGCAGUUCCCUUUGAGUUUACAAAUGAUCUCCCCUACCCCGCAUUUCUUAACUUUGCUAUGAAUGUCUUCCGUUCCCAUGGGCAAUUCUGUAAUCUAGCUUUCAUUCCCCAUCGCGCCUGCUGUUCUCUAAGAUCUCUAAAUCUCCAGUUAUCAAAACACAUAAUCUGCCCUAUCGUUCAACGGCAGACAUUUCAACAUCUGGUAGUAAUUAACUAACAGCAGAGAAGCAGUGCUGAGUGAGUGUGUCUCUUGAAAGUUUCACAUCCCAGAAAUGCAUGCUUUGAUAUUGGCUGGGGAGUCUGGAAGAAAUGGCUCUGGACUGCAUGUCUGCCCACAUGGCAUACAAAUUUGAAAGCUGAAUUUCAGUGUAGAUUUUGAAUUAUUUUCUGAGUUCAAGUGCAGAUACAGUUGGAGUGUCAAUUCGAAACUAUGGUAGUUGAUUUUUAAAUACGCAUUGCAGUGCUGUGAUAUACAGUUACUGAUUCACACUUGUAUGCAUGAAAGGGUUAACCUGAGCCCUGAGCUCAAGUUACCAUGAGUGCUGCAGGCUCCCAGCAGCCUUAACUUCCACCUACUUCUCUCUCCUGCUUCCUUCAAGAAGCUGAAGCCAAGCAUGGCUCCCAGCUCAUGUAGAACAAAACAUGCAAUGAAAAAUCUCUCCAAAAUGAGAUUUUUAUUACCUGCAUGCACGGACUGUUUGAUCCUUUUAUAGGGAAUUUAUUUUUAAGUCUUUUGGAAAAAAAAAAUUCUUCUUUAUUUUUCCUGCAAACGGAUGGAUAAUUAUUUGCUGUCACUUCUGAAACUCUUGUGAAUACAGUUUUCUCUUAUUUGCAAAGCUAAGUGGCUGUGAUUUAUUCUAGCCUAAGUACUUUAAUGGGGAAUGUUUGAUUAAAGGUGGAUGAGGGCAGAUGUAAAUCUAAGUAAGUUUUAAUAUGCUCUGGAUAAAAUUGUUGUUGUUGUUGUUUAGUCGUUUAGUCGUGUCCGACUCUUCGUGACCCCAUGGACCAGAGUAUGCCAGGCACUCCUGUCUUCCACUGCCUCCCGCAGUUUGGUCAGACUCAUGUUUGUAGCUUCGAGGACACUGUCCAACCAUCUCGUCCUCUGCCGUCCCCUUCUCCUUGUGCCCUCAAUCUUUCCCAACAUCAGGGUCUUUUCCAGGGAGUCUUCUCUUCUCAUGAGGUGGCUAAAGUAUUGGAGCCUCAACUUCACGAUCUGUCCUUCCAGUGAGCACUCAGGGCUGAUUUCCUUAAGAAUGGAUAGGUUUGUUCUUCUUGCAGUCCAUGGGACUCUCAAGAGUCUCCUCCAGCACCAGAAUUCAAAGGCAGCAAUUCUUUGGGGAUCGGCCUUCUUUAUGGUCCAGCUCUCACUUCCAUACAUCACUACCGGGAAAACCAUGGCUUUAACUAUACGGACCUUUGCUGGCAAGGUGAUGUCUCUGCUUUUUAAGAUGCUGUCUAGGUUUGCCAUCGCCUUUCUCCCAAGGAGCAGGCAUCUUUUAAUUUUGUUACUGCUGUCACCAUCUGCAGUG
Molecule: non-coding RNA, 11836 nt
Organism: Podarcis lilfordi (Lilford's wall lizard)
Lineage: Eukaryota; Metazoa; Chordata; Lepidosauria; Squamata; Lacertidae
Source: the annotation of a GenBank genome assembly